Molecule: ribosomal RNA, 249 nt
Filed under: uncultured bacterium
Lineage: Bacteria
Description: partial 16S ribosomal RNA
Rfam family: Bacterial small subunit ribosomal RNA
Source: RNAcentral
CAUGCUGUAAACGAUGUUCAUUAGGUGUAGGGGGUAUCGACCCCCUCUGUGCCGUAGCUAACGCGUUAAAUGAACCGCCUGGGAAGUACGACCGCAAGGUUAAAACUCAAAGAAAUUGACGGGGGCCCGCACAAGCAGUGGAUCAUGUGGUUUAAUUCGACGAUACACGAAAAACCUUACCUGAACUUGACAUCUGCCUGAUCCUCAUGGAAGCAUGGGGUGACCCGCAAGGGAGGGCAAGACAGGUGG